This 829-nucleotide ribosomal RNA is filed under the name uncultured Veillonella sp. RNAcentral's name for it is "bacterial SSU rRNA". It matches the Rfam family "Bacterial small subunit ribosomal RNA", at positions 60 to 858 of the family's 1533-position model. Lineage: Bacteria; Bacillati; Bacillota; Negativicutes; Veillonellales; Veillonellaceae. The record is from RNAcentral.
AGUCGAACGAAGAGCGAUGGAAGCUUGCUUCUAUCAAUCUUAGUGGCGAACGGGUGAGUAACGCGUAAUCAACCUGCCCUUCAGAGGGGGACAACAGUUGGAAACGACUGCUAAUACCGCAUACGAUCUAAUCUCGGCAUCGAGGAUAGAUGAAAGGUGGCCUCUACAUGUAAGCUAUCACUGAAGGAGGGGAUUGCGUCUGAUUAGCUAGUUGGAGGGGUAACGGCCCACCAAGGCGAUGAUCAGUAGCCGGUCUGAGAGGAUGAACGGCCACAUUGGGACUGAGACACGGCCCAGACUCCUACGGGAGGCAGCGGUGGGGAAUCUCCCGCAAUGGACGAAAGUCUGACGGAGCAACGCCGCGUGAGUGAUGACGGCCUUCGGGUUGUAAAGCUCUGUUAAUCGGGACGAAAGGCCUUCUUGCGAAUAGUGAGAAGGAUUGACGGUACCGGAAUAGAAAGCCACGGCUAACUACGUGCCAGCAGCCGCGGUAAUACGUAGGUGGCAAGCGUUGUCCGGAAUUAUUGGGCGUAAAGCGCGCGCAGGCGGAUCAGUCAGUCUGUCUUAAAAGUUCGGGGCUUAACCCCGUGAUGGGAUGGAAACUGCUGAUCUAGAGUAUCGGAGAGGAAAGUGGAAUUCCUAGUGUAGCGGUGAAAUGCGUAGAUAUUAGGAAGAACACCAGUGGCGAAGGCGACUUUCUGGACGAAAACUGACGCUGAGGCGCGAAAGCCAGGGGAGCGAACGGGAUUAGAUACCCCGGUAGUCCUAGCCGUAAACGAUGGGUACUAGGUGUAGGAGGUAUCGACCCCUUCUGUGCCGGAGUUAACGC